Equus caballus (horse) is the source of this 818-nucleotide long non-coding RNA. RefSeq lists it as uncharacterized. The record is from RefSeq and is a predicted model, not a curated record. Lineage: Eukaryota; Metazoa; Chordata; Mammalia; Perissodactyla; Equidae.
UAUGUGGCUUGGAUCAAGCUAAUCAGCUCAUCACAUUGUCCUGUUCAUGAUCAAUGAGAUUCUGACUGGGAAUGUGGUACCAAGAUCUUCCUAUCUCCCACUGCAUAGGAAGCUGGCAGGAUAGAGCCCUGGGAGCUGCUGGCAGUCACCUUAUGCCCAGAGGCUUUUAGCCCAUCAGAGGAUACUUUACGUUGUCCUGUUCUCUUUGGUGACAGAAAGCAAACACAACAAGGAGCCCUCACCUUACCCAUGAAGACAAAGAGCCAGAGCAUUUACAAGUGACAAUGCUGGAACUUGGUGUCCCCUCCAGGAUGAGUCUGUGGGAUACUUGCGGGCCUGGUCCUCAUGAUGCAGAAGUCUCCGCUCACGUGGCUAGCUCUGGGAAGAAUACAGUGUUCAUCAGAAAAAUCUCAAGCAACAGUUUGGUGUAGAGUCAUCCAGAUUCUCUCUCAUACAUAUAUAUAAUGUCUUGGUCAGUAAAGCAGAAAACCCGUCCUACGUAUAUGUCAAACCACAGCAUCUGAAUCACAGAAAGCGUGGAGCUGCCAGUGGGCUCCACCCCCACAGAUCCUGCUACUGUGCAAGUUACAAGCCUGGAACAGCUUGGACCCCUGGGGCAUGCAUCUGAUUCAUCGGAAUCACUAGGGGAAAUUUAGUGCACGGCAGAAAUCCAGUCAACACCCUUGUUCCCAAUAGUUAACAUACUGUUUGACACCACUGUGGCCAGCAGAAGAAUUAGUCCAUCUCUCUCAGACCACCCACACCACUGAUAGCUAAUAACUAACACAUGGGGAGACCAUGGCUAAUGAUCUCCUUGG